Cyanistes caeruleus (blue tit) is the source of this 1363-nucleotide long non-coding RNA. RefSeq lists it as uncharacterized. The record is from RefSeq and is a predicted model, not a curated record. NCBI's taxonomy places the organism in Eukaryota, Metazoa, Chordata, Aves, Passeriformes, Paridae.
GCUGUCAAUCUUAGCUGUGGGCCCCGCCCCUCAGUGGGGCUGAGCGAGGGUCGUUGUCAUGGCGGGGUCGGCGCCCGUCUCUUGCUGCAGCCCACCCGAGUCCCGCACACCGGGCCGUGGCUCAGGGCUCGCGGAGGAGUUCACAGAAUCAGUUAUUGUGGAAAAGAUCUCCGCGAUCAUCCCGAGUCCAGCCCGUGACCCAGCAGUACCGUGGCACCAAAUGCCAUACCGGGUCAUUCCUUAAACAGCUGCAGGGACGCUGACACCAUCAUCUCCUUGGGCAGCCCGUUCCCAUGUCCAGUCACCCUUUCUGUGAAGAAAUUCAUCCUUAUGUCCUACCUAAAACCUCCCGAGUUUGACCCUGGGUGGGUGUCUGCCCUCCCUGCACCUUGCCGUGAUGUGGAGCCUGAACCCACUUGCCGGGGAAGAUGGCACAAAGCAAAAAGUGUGUCAGCUCCUGCCACGUGUCCAGCGAUAAGGGGACCUGGAGGUGAAAUGCCACGAUGAGCAUCCUACAGAGAAGCUCAAGAUGUAUCAGCAUCUAUCAAGCACAGCCUGAAACAGGUGCAGCACAGCAGAGGGUUUGGGCUGUCCCCAAGCAGGGCAGGCAGGAGGACAACCCAAAUCCUGGAGUUCUCACUGUCCUGAGGGGGUUUUGCCACCCAGAUACAGCUGUGUCUGCGCUGGAAUAAGAAAGAAGAGCUGUGAAUAGCUCCUGGGUCCCAGUGGGGUGUGCAGGAGCUGUGCCCAUGGUCAGCGCUUGGAAACAGGCACAGGGCCAUGGGAAUCCACGGGAAUUCAUCCCUGCAGGAAGUUCUCAUCCAUAUAUAGCACUUCCUUCCCUGGCAGCGGCUGCAUGCGGUGCCAUUCUCCCAUGGCACUGCUGGAGAGGAACUGGGAGCAGUGGGCAGAGGGGUCAGGGCUUCCCAGGAGAUCCUCUCUCACAUCCUGCGUGAUGAGGGCUGGGACACGGGACCUUUCUAGCAAACAUCUUCACACCUGUUUUGCUGUGUUGAAGUAAGAAGUUAGAAACCUAUGUGAGAGUUCUGAUCCUCUCUGAACAGGGCUGGGAGGAACCUUGGUGCAUUGCUUGGGCUGGUUCCUGCCCCAAAACAGGAUCAGUACUAUUGAAAACUUUCCAUACAAAGCAUGUUUACUGUUUUUUUAAAUUUUUUUUAAAGCCUCAGACUUAAAAGAGGAGAGCUCUCACUCUCCUUAAACAACCUUUUUUAGGAUUUGACCAUUUUUAACCCUAGAAAAUGUCCCUGAAUUGUUCUUGUUACAGUGUUGAGCUGGCAAUAAUUUGUUUUUAUCCCUACUGGUAAAAGAAAUAUAUUCCCUUUCUGUUUGUGGCAGCCUUUUA